RNAcentral lists this ribosomal RNA (322 nucleotides) under uncultured eukaryote. Its description in RNAcentral is "partial 18S ribosomal RNA". It matches the Rfam family "Eukaryotic small subunit ribosomal RNA", at positions 1470 to 1796 of the family's 1831-position model. The record is from RNAcentral.
CCCUUAGAUGUUCUGGGCCGCACGCGUGCUACACUGAGUGGAUCAGCGGGUCAGGUUGCGCGAAAGUGUUUCCUAAUCUUUAAAUCCGCUCGUGAUGGGGAUUGACGGUUGCAAUUUUCCGUCAUGAACGAGGAAUACCUUGUAAGCGCGGGUCAUCAUCCCGCGCUGAAUACGUCCCUGCCCUUUGUACACACCGCCCGUCGCUCCUACCGAUUGAGUGGUCCGGUGAGGCUUUGGGAUCUGGGCGGAAAGAGCGUUUCGCUGUUUCUGCCCGGAAAACUCAGUCGAACCUCAUCAUUUAGAGGAAGGAGAAGUCGUAACA